This is a long non-coding RNA of Salvelinus fontinalis (brook trout), 429 nucleotides long. RefSeq lists it as uncharacterized. The transcript is spliced from 3 exons. NCBI's taxonomy places the organism in Eukaryota, Metazoa, Chordata, Actinopteri, Salmoniformes, Salmonidae. The record is from RefSeq and is a predicted model, not a curated record.
UCCUGCUGUGUCACAAGGCUGGGCGGGUCAGUUUCGACGCUGUCAUAUCCCCUGGGGGACCGGGAGCCAAUAGUGUUGCUCGACAACCCGGAAGAAACAGCAGCCCGAAAAGAGCGCCUGGAUUUCAAUUUUGAACAGAUAAGAAGACGUUGACAGUUGUCCUGAUCUGGAGUCCGCCCCAGAAGGACCAUGAGUUUCUCCCCCACCCCCGUGGACCCGACCGGCAGCCGUAGUGUCCAGGAGCAGAGAGAGAAGUGGGAGAGAAAGAGAACCCGUACAGCCAGGGCCCUGGUCCAAACUGAACAGAAAUACUGUAAACAACUACAACUAGUCAACACGUACUUUGUGGAGAUUCUGAAGGCCAAAGGCACCCUGAGGCAGGACAUUAGAGAAAGCAUCUUUAGUUCCAUUCCAUCCAUCCGUUCAGUA